This 2334-nucleotide ribosomal RNA is filed under the name Triticum aestivum (bread wheat). RNAcentral describes it as "partial small subunit ribosomal RNA". Lineage: Eukaryota; Viridiplantae; Streptophyta; Magnoliopsida; Poales; Poaceae. The record is from RNAcentral.
AUGCCGCCCAAGUCGGUUAAGAGGGGCGGCGCCGCGGCGGCGAGGAAGGGGUCGGCGACGAAGGCCAGGGCGGCGAAGCCCCAGCCGGUCGCGGAGGAGGCGCCCGUCGAGGUGGUCAAGGCCGCGGAGGAGGCUCCCCCUAAGGUGGAGGAACAGAAGCCGCAGCCGUCGCCGCCACCGCAGCAGCCGGCCGCUGAGGUGAAGGCUAAGGCGGAUGCCGCUGAGAACGGCGCAAGCCACGCUGAAGAUGAUGGAGCUGCAAAAGAAACAUAUGAAGAAGAGGACAAAGGUGAACGACUGGAGUUCGAGGAUGAGCCAGAAUAUGAAGAGGAGCCUGCCGUGGACUACGACGAGAAGGAUUUGGAGCAGUAUGAGGAGCAAUACGAGGACGGCGAUGAAGGGCUGGAGUACACUGAAGAUGUAGUCGAAGAGGAGACUGAGAUGGUGGAUGAGGAGGAACUGGAUAAUGGCGGGGAUGAUGGCGAGGGUGAGGAAUAUGAAAAUGCAGAUGAAGACCACGAUGUGGACGUGGAGGACGAAGACCAUCAUGAAAUGGUGAAAGCACAUCGUAAGAGGAAGGAGUUUGAAGUUUUUGUUGGUGGGCUAGAUAAAGAUGCCACAGAAAGUGACCUGAGGAAAGUUUUCAGUGAAGUCGGCGAGAUCACUGAAGUUCGUUUGAUGAUGAACCCUGUUACGAAGAAGAAUAAAGGCUUCGCGUUCCUGCAAUAUGAGACUGUGGAGCAAGCAAAGCGUGCUGUCUCAGAUCUGAAAAAUCCGAUGGUGCGAGGUAAGCAAUGCGGUGUUGCUCCUAGUCGUGACAACGAUACACUUUUUGUUGGCAAUAUCUGCAAGACAUGGACAAAAGAACAUCUGAAGGAGAAACUGAAGAUCUAUGAGGUCGAGGAUUUUGAUGAUUUAAUAUUGGUUGAGGAUAGCAAUAACCCAGGGAUGAAUCGUGGGUAUGCUUUACUUGAGUUUUCUACUCGCCCUGAAGCUAUGGAUGCUUUCAGGCGGUUGCAGAAGAGGGAUGUAGUCUUUGGAGUUGAUCGCACUGCAAAGGUUUCCUUUGCCGAUUCCUAUCCUGAAGUCGAUGAUGAAAUGAUGGCACAGGUCAGAACUGUAUUUCUUGAUGGUCUCCCCCCCUCAUGGGAAGAAGAUCGUGUUAAGAAGUACCUUAAAAAGUAUGGAGCUAUCGAGAAAGUUGAACUUGCCCGAAACAUGCCUGCGGCCAAAAGAAAAGAUUUUGGGUUUGUUACUUUUGAUACGCAUGAUAAUGCUGUUGCAUGUGUUGAUGGGAUAACUAGUUCUGAGCUUGGCGAAGGUGAUAGCAAGGCAAAAGUGAGAGCCAGAUUGUCAAGGCCAGUACAGAGACCUCCUAGAAUGAAGCAUGGAUUAAGAGGAAAUUUCAGGAUUGGGCAAAGUGCUCCUCGAGGUGGCCGUUUCCCAUACACUCGGCCUCCUCCACGCCGGCCUCUGCCAUGUCUUGUACGACCUGAUACUCGCUUACCUCCCAUCAGGAGGCCUCCACUGAAGAGGCCAAUAGAUAAAAGAGAUAGACGCCCUGUUAUGUCGAUACCAGAUAGAGUUAGGCGUUUGCCUCCUCCAGAGAGAUCCUAUGAUAGAAGGCCCCCAGCUCCUGUUUACCCAAAGAGAAGUCCAAGGAGGGAAUAUGGAAGGCGUGAUGAACCUCUUCCGCCAAGGAGCAGAGCUACCUUUGCUGACUACAGUGCAAGAGUUCCAGUGGAUAGGCGCCACACUUACAGGGACGACUAUUCGCCCCGUGAAUCGGCCUAUUCAGACCUAGCUCCUCGCAGCGCUCCCCGUUUUUCUGACAGGAGAGCAUAUGCUGAUGACGGCUAUGUAGAGAAGAUUGACCGACCUUUGCCAACCUAUAGGGAGGGCCGUGGACGUGAUUAUGAUACAAUAUCUGGUUCAAAACGCUCAUAUGUUGAGAUGGAUGACGUGCCUCCUCGGUACCACGACAUUAGCGUUCGUCAGCCCAAGGCACGCUUAGAUUAUGAUGUUGGUGGUAGCAGUGCUCGGUAUGCAGAUGCUUAUACUGAGAGGCUUGGGCGGUCACAUGUGGGAUACAGUAGCAGCAGAUCUGUUGCUGGUCAUGACCCGGUGUAUAGCAGCAGCCGCCAUGGCUUGAGUUAUGGAGGUUCUGCGAGCACUGGAGAUGCUGGUGGAAAUUACUCUUCAAAUUACAGUGCAGACUACAUGCCUCGUGGAUCUGAUGUUGGCGGGAGUUCAUAUUCAUCGCAUUACUCGGGUCGAAACACGGGUAGCAGCAGUGGCUACUUUGGCGGCAGUGGUUCCAGUUCGUACUACUAA